RNAcentral lists this ribosomal RNA (499 nucleotides) under uncultured bacterium. RNAcentral's name for it is "partial 16S ribosomal RNA". It matches the Rfam family "Bacterial small subunit ribosomal RNA", at positions 28 to 523 of the family's 1533-position model. The record is from RNAcentral.
GAUGAACGCUGGCGGCGUGCCUAACACAUGCAAGUCGAGCGAGAAGGUUGAAAAAUGAGUUUUCGAACAAGUGAUUCAAACGGAAAGCUGCGGACGGGUUAGUAACGCGUAGGCAACCUGCUCCGUGCAGAGGGACAGCCCCGGGAAACCGGGAUUAAGACCUCAUGACAUCGGGUUCUCACAUGGUAAUCCGGUCAAAGCUUGAUCGGGAUGGGAUGGGCCUGCGUCUGAUUGGCUGGUUGGUGGGGUAACGGCAUACAAAGGCGACGAUGAGUAGCAGAUCUGGGAGGUUCAUCUGCCACAUUGGAGCUGAGACACGGUCCAAACUCCUACGGGAGGCAGCAGUGAGGAAUAUUGCACAAUGGGCGAAAGCCUGAUGCAGCAACGCCGCGUGAGCGAAGAAGGCCUUUGGAUCGUAAAGCUCUGUCCUUGGGGAAUAAACAAAUGACGGUACCCUUGGAGGAAGCCCCGGCUAACUACGUGCCAGCAGCCGCGGUAA